RNAcentral lists this ribosomal RNA (431 nucleotides) under uncultured bacterium. RNAcentral describes it as "partial 16S ribosomal RNA". It matches the Rfam family "Bacterial small subunit ribosomal RNA", at positions 29 to 507 of the family's 1533-position model. The record is from RNAcentral.
AACGAACGCUGGCGGCAGGCUUAACACAUGCAAGUCGAGCGCCCCGCCAGGGGAGCGGCAGACGGGUGAGUAACGCGUGGGAACGUACCUUUUGGUUCGGAACAACUCCGGGAAACUGGAGCUAAUACCGGAUAAGCCCUAACGGGGAAAGAUUUAUCGCCGAAAGAUCGGCCCGCGUCUGAUUAGCUAGUUGGUGAGGUAACGGCUCACCAAGGCGACGAUCAGUAGCUGGUCUGAGAGGAUGAUCAGCCACACUGGGACUGAGACACGGCCCAGACUCCUACGGGAGGCAGCAGUGGGGAAUAUUGGACAAUGGGCGCAAGCCUGAUCCAGCCAUGCCGCGUGAGUGAUGAAGGCCUUAGGGUUGUAAAGCUCUUUUGUCCGGGAAGAUAAUGACGGUACCGGAAGAAUAAGCCCCGGCUAACUUCGUG